AGUGAACGCUGGCGGUAGGCCUAACACAUGCAAGUCGAACGGCAGCACAGUAAGAGCUUGCUCUUACGGGUGGCGAGUGGCGGACGGGUGAGGAAUACAUCGGAAUCUACUUUUUCGUGGGGGAUAACGUAGGGAAACUUACGCUAAUACCGCAUACGACCUACGGGUGAAAGCAGGGGAUCUUCGGACCUUGCGCGAUUGAAUGAGCCGAUGUCGGAUUAGCUAGUUGGCGGGGUAAAGGCCCACCAAGGCGACGAUCCGUAGCUGGUCUGAGAGGAUGAUCAGCCACACUGGAACUGAGGCACGGUCCAGACUCCUACGGGAGGCAGCAGUGGGGAAUAUUGGACAAUGGGCGCAAGCCUGAUCCAGCCAUACCGCGUGGGUGAAGAAGGCCUUCGGGUUGUAAAGCCCUUUUGUUGGGAAAGAAAAGCAGCAGGUUAAUACCCCGCUGUUCUGACGGUACCCAAAGAAAAAGCACCGGCUAACUUCGUG
This 492-nucleotide ribosomal RNA is filed under the name uncultured bacterium. RNAcentral's name for it is "partial 16S ribosomal RNA". It matches the Rfam family "Bacterial small subunit ribosomal RNA", at positions 29 to 507 of the family's 1533-position model. The record is from RNAcentral.